RNAcentral lists this ribosomal RNA (1476 nucleotides) under uncultured bacterium. Its description in RNAcentral is "bacterial SSU rRNA". It matches the Rfam family "Bacterial small subunit ribosomal RNA". The record is from RNAcentral.
AGAGUUUGAUCCUGGCUCAGAACGAACGCUGGCGGCGUGCCUAACACAUGCAAGUCGAACGAGAAAGGGGCUUCGGCCCUGAGUAAAGUGGCGCACGGGUGAGUAACACGUGGGUAACCUGCCUCUAAGAUUGGGAUAACCUGUCGAAAGACGGGCUAAUACCAAAUGAGACCACGGCUUCUUCGGGAGCUGAGGUCAAAGGUAGCCUCUAUUAUAUAAGCUAUCGCUCGGAGAUGGGCCCGCGCACCAUUAGCUAGUUGGUGGGGUAACGGCCUACCAAGGCAAAGAUGGUUAGCUGGUCUGAGAGGAUGAUCAGCCACACUGGAACUGAGACACGGUCCAGACUCCUACGGGAGGCAGCAGUGGGGAAUAUUGCGCAAUGGGCGAAAGCCUGACGCAGCAACGCCGCGUGAGUGAUGAAGGCCUUCGGGUCGUAAAGCUCUGUCGGAGGGAACGAAUGUUCUUGAGGUUAACAGCCUCGGGAAGUGACGGUACCCUCAAAGGAAGCACCGGCUAACUCUGUGCCAGCAGCCGCGGUAAUACAGAGGGUGCAAGCGUUGUUCGGAAUUAUUGGGCGUUAAGGGCGUGUAGGCGGUCUGCUAAGUCAUGUGUGAAAUCCCUCGGCUUAACCGAGGAACGACGCAUUGAAACUGGCAAGCUAGAGUACCAAAGAGGGGGGUGGAAUUCCCGGUGUACGGUGAAAUGCGUAGAUUUCGGGAGGAACACCGGUUGGCGAAGGCGGCCCCCUGGUUGGAUACUGACGCUGAAACGCGAAGCGUGGGGGAGGCAAACAGAUUAGAUACCUGUAGUCCACCUGUAACGAUGGGCACUAGGUGUCCGGGGUAUUUGACCCCCCUGGGUGCCGCAGCUAACGCAUUAAGUGCCCCGCCCUGGGGAGUACGGUCGCAAGAUUAAACUCAAAAGGAAUUGACGGGGGCCCGGCACAAGCGGUGGGAGCAUUGUGGUUCAAUUUCGACGCAACGCGAAGACCUUACCUGGGCUAGACAACGCGGACCGUCCUAGAAAUAGGAUCUUCCCUUCGGGGACUGCCGUUCAGGUGCUGCAUGGCUGUCGUCAGCUCGUGCCGUGAGGUGUUGGUUAAGUCCCGCAACGAGCGCAACCCUUGCCCUUAGUUGCCACCAUUCAGUUGGCACUCUAGGGGGACUGCCGGCGUUAAGCCGGAGGAAGGUGGGGACGACGUCAAGUCAUCAUGGCCCUUAUGUCCAGGCCACACACGUGCUACAAUGGACGGUACAAAGGGUUGCAAAACCCGUGAGGGGAGCUAAUCCCAAAACCGUUUCAGUUCGAUUUGAGUUGCAACUGACUCAUGAGCUGGAAUCGUAGUAUCCGAUCAGACCCCGGUGAAUACGUUCCCGGGCUUGUACACACCGCCCGUCACACCAUGGAAGUCAGUGUACCGAAGUCGGUGAGUUAACCCGCAAGGAGACAGCCGCCUAUGGUAUGACUGUGACUGGG